UACGUAGGGUGCAAGCGUUGUCCGGAAUUAUUGGGCGUAAAGAGCUCGUAGGCGGUCUGUCGCGUCUGCUGUGAAAACUCGGGGCUUAACCCCGGGCCUGCAGUGGGUACGGGCAGACUAGAGUACUUCAGGGGAGACUGGAAUUCCUGGUGUAGCGGUGAAAUGCGCAGAUAUCAGGAGGAACACCGGUGGCGAAGGCGGGUCUCUGGGCCGAUACUGACGCUGAGGAGCGAAAGCGUGGGGAGCGAACAGG
This 253-nucleotide ribosomal RNA is filed under the name uncultured bacterium. RNAcentral's name for it is "partial 16S ribosomal RNA". It matches the Rfam family "Bacterial small subunit ribosomal RNA", at positions 524 to 776 of the family's 1533-position model. The record is from RNAcentral.